Molecule: long non-coding RNA, 523 nt
Organism: Diospyros lotus (date-plum)
Lineage: Eukaryota; Viridiplantae; Streptophyta; Magnoliopsida; Ericales; Ebenaceae
Exons: 2
Source: RefSeq, a predicted model, not a curated record
UCUCUCUAUAAAGCAAAGCUAAUCAGUGGGUUUUAGCUAGGGUUUUCAAAAGGGUUUGGAGUUGUGUUGAGGGGAAUGUUGGCUGGCUCGAGGCUUUUCAAAGAAAAAGCCCCCCAGGAAAGGGUUCUGAAAGCCAUGAUCUGAUCAUGAAAAGGCUUCGGACCAGGCUUCAUUCCCCUCAAACAUCAUAUACAUACGUACGUAUAGGUAUAUAUAUCACGAGGCUUCGCCAUUAUACAUUAUUUUCUUUGAAGGUUAGGUCGAGAGGAAUGUUGUCUGGCUCGAGGUCAUGGAAGGUGAUUUAUUUUUUUGAAGGAAUUAAUAUUUUCAACCUUAGAUGAUUCUCGGACCAGGCUUCAUUCCUCCCUACCAUCACUCUUCUAUGCUCUCCAUCUUCUCCGGUUCUUCUGUGUCAAGUCAAGCAUUUGAUGUUUAAGGGCAUUGCAUGAAAAACCCUGUUCUUUUCUUUCGGAGCUUUUGAUGACAAGAAAAUAAAGAAAGAAAGGAGAUAACUCUGGGUUCA